UUAAGCGACUAAGCGUACACGGUGGAUGCCCUGGCAGUCAGAGGCGAUGAAGGACGUGCUAAUCUGCGAUAAGCGUCGGUGAGGUGAUAUGAACCGUUAUAACCGGCGAUUUCCGAAUGGGGAAACCCAGUGUGAUUCGUCACACUAUCAUUAACUGAAUCCAUAGGUUAAUGAGGCGAACCGGGGGAACUGAAACAUCUAAGUACCCCGAGGAAAAGAAAUCAACCGAGAUUCCCCCAGUAGCGGCGAGCGAACGGGGAGGAGCCCAGAGCCUGAAUCAGUGUGUGUGUUAGUGGAAGCGUCUGGAAAGGCGUGCGAUACAGGGUGACAGCCCCGUACACAAAAAUGCACAUAUUGUGAGCUCGAUGAGUAGGGCGGGACACGUGGUAUCCUGUCUGAAUAUGGGGGGACCAUCCUCCAAGGCUAAAUACUCCUGACUGACCGAUAGUGAACCAGUACCGUGAGGGAAAGGCGAAAAGAACCCCGGCGAGGGGAGUGAAAAAGAACCUGAAACCGUGUACGUACAAGCAGUGGGAGCCUCUUAAUGGGGUGACUGCGUACCUUUUGUAUAAUGGGUCAGCGACUUAUAUUCUGUAGCAAGGUUAACCGAAUAGGGGAGCCGAAGGGAAACCGAGUCUUAACUGGGCGUUAAGUUGCAGGGUAUAGACCCGAAACCCGGUGAUCUAGCCAUGGGCAGGUUGAAGGUUGGGUAACACUAACUGGAGGACCGAACCGACUAAUGUUGAAAAAUUAGCGGAUGACUUGUGGCUGGGGGUGAAAGGCCAAUCAAACCGGGAGAUAGCUGGUUCUCCCCGAAAGCUAUUUAGGUAGCGCCUCGUGAAUUCAUCUCCGGGGGUAGAGCACUGUUUCGGCAAGGGGGUCAUCCCGACUUACCAACCCGAUGCAAACUGCGAAUACCGGAGAAUGUUAUCACGGGAGACACACGGCGGGUGCUAACGUCCGUCGUGAAGAGGGAAACAACCCAGACCGCCAGCUAAGGUCCCAAAGUCAUGGUUAAGUGGGAAACGAUGUGGGAAGGCCCAGACAGCCAGGAUGUUGGCUUAGAAGCAGCCAUCAUUUAAAGAAAGCGUAAUAGCUCACUGGUCGAGUCGGCCUGCGCGGAAGAUGUAACGGGGCUAAACCAUGCACCGAAGCUGCGGCAGCGACACUAUGUGUUGUUGGGUAGGGGAGCGUUCUGUAAGCCUGUGAAGGUGGCCUGUGAGGGUUGCUGGAGGUAUCAGAAGUGCGAAUGCUGACAUAAGUAACGAUAAAGCGGGUGAAAAGCCCGCUCGCCGGAAGACCAAGGGUUCCUGUCCAACGUUAAUCGGGGCAGGGUGAGUCGACCCCUAAGGCGAGGCCGAAAGGCGUAGUCGAUGGGAAACAGGUUAAUAUUCCUGUACUUGGUGUUACUGCGAAGGGGGGACGGAGAAGGCUAUGUUGGCCGGGCGACGGUUGUCCCGGUUUAAGCGUGUAGGCUGGUUUUCUAGGCAAAUCCGGAAAACCAAGGCUGAGGCGUGAUGACGAGGCACUACGGUGCUGAAGUGACAAAUGCCCUGCUUCCAGGAAAAGCCUCUAAGCAUCAGGUAACAUCAAAUCGUACCCCAAACCGACACAGGUGGUCAGGUAGAGAAUACCAAGGCGCUUGAGAGAACUCGGGUGAAGGAACUAGGCAAAAUGGUGCCGUAACUUCGGGAGAAGGCACGCUGAUAUGUAGGUGAAGCGACUUGCUCGUGGAGCUGAAAUCAGUCGAAGAUACCAGCUGGCUGCAACUGUUUAUUAAAAACACAGCACUGUGCAAACACGAAAGUGGACGUAUACGGUGUGACGCCUGCCCGGUGCCGGAAGGUUAAUUGAUGGGGUUAGCGGCAACGCGAAGCUCUUGAUCGAAGCCCCGGUAAACGGCGGCCGUAACUAUAACGGUCCUAAGGUAGCGAAAUUCCUUGUCGGGUAAGUUCCGACCUGCACGAAUGGCGUAAUGAUGGCCAGGCUGUCUCCACCCGAGACUCAGUGAAAUUGAACUCGCUGUGAAGAUGCAGUGUACCCGCGGCAAGACGGAAAGACCCCGUGAACCUUUACUAUAGCUUGACACUGAACAUUGAGCCUUGAUGUGUAGGAUAGGUGGGAGGCUUUGAAGUGUGGACGCCAGUCUGCAUGGAGCCGACCUUGAAAUACCACCCUUUAAUGUUUGAUGUUCUAACGUUGGCCCGUAAUCCGGGUUGCGGACAGUGUCUGGUGGGUAGUUUGACUGGGGCGGUCUCCUCCUAAAGAGUAACGGAGGAGCACGAAGGUUGGCUAAUCCUGGUCGGACAUCAGGAGGUUAGUGCAAUGGCAUAAGCCAGCUUGACUGCGAGCGUGACGGCGCGAGCAGGUGCGAAAGCAGGUCAUAGUGAUCCGGUGGUUCUGAAUGGAAGGGCCAUCGCUCAACGGAUAAAAGGUACUCCGGGGAUAACAGGCUGAUACCGCCCAAGAGUUCAUAUCGACGGCGGUGUUUGGCACCUCGAUGUCGGCUCAUCACAUCCUGGGGCUGAAGUAGGUCCCAAGGGUAUGGCUGUUCGCCAUUUAAAGUGGUACGCGAGCUGGGUUUAGAACGUCGUGAGACAGUUCGGUCCCUAUCUGCCGUGGGCGCUGGAGAACUGAGGGGGGCUGCUCCUAGUACGAGAGGACCGGAGUGGACGCAUCACUGGUGUUCGGGUUGUCAUGCCAAUGGCACUGCCCGGUAGCUAAAUGCGGAAGAGAUAAGUGCUGAAAGCAUCUAAGCACGAAACUUGCCCCGAGAUGAGUUCUCCCUGACCCUUUAAGGGUCCUGAAGGAACGUUGAAGACGACGACGUUGAUAGGCCGGGUGUGUAAGCGCAGCGAUGCGUUGAGCUAACCGGUACUAAUGAACCGUGAGGCUUAACCUU
This 2902-nucleotide ribosomal RNA is filed under the name Escherichia coli. RNAcentral's name for it is "bacterial LSU rRNA". It matches the Rfam family "Bacterial large subunit ribosomal RNA". Lineage: Bacteria; Pseudomonadati; Pseudomonadota; Gammaproteobacteria; Enterobacterales; Enterobacteriaceae. The record is from RNAcentral. RNAcentral also lists the same sequence under 1 other name.